CACGUAGGGCGCAAGCGUUGUCCGGAAUUAUUGGGCGUAAAGAGCUCGUAGGCGGUCUGUUGCGUCCGCUGUGAAAACUCGGGGCUUAACCCCGAGCCUGCAGUGGAUACGGGCAGACUAGAGGUAGGUAGGGGAGAAUGGAAUUCCCCGGUGUAGCGGUGAAAUGCGCAGAUAUCGGGAGGAACACCGGUGGCGAAGGCGGGUCUCUGGGCAGUAACUGACGCUGAGGAGCGAAAGCGUGGGGAGCGAACAGG
Molecule: ribosomal RNA, 254 nt
Filed under: uncultured bacterium
Lineage: Bacteria
Description: partial 16S ribosomal RNA
Rfam family: Bacterial small subunit ribosomal RNA
Source: RNAcentral